GACGAACGCUGGCGGCGUGCUUAACACAUGCAAGUCAAAUGGAAAUGCCCUUCUUUUGUGGGGUGCUCGAGUGGCGAAUGGAUGACUAACACGUGAGUAACCUGCCCUUUACUUUGGGAUAUCUUCAUGAAACUUGUUCUAAUUACGUGUAGUAGCUCCUUCUUCAUGGUUGUGUUUGGUAAGUUUCGGCUGUUGGGGAUGUACUCUCGGCUUAUCAGCUUGUUGGUGGGGUAGUGGCUUACCAAGGCUUUGACGGGUAGCCGGGCUGAGAGGGUGACCGGGCAAAUAGGGAAUGAGAUAAGGGCCAGAAUCCUAAGGGAGGCAGGAGGGGGGAAUAUUGCACAAAGGGCGGAAGACUGAUACAGAAACGCUGCGUGCGGGAUGAGGGCCUUCGGGUUGUAAACAGCUUUCGCAGGUGACGAAGAGUGAGUGACGGUAAUGGGUAAAGAAGCACCGGCUAACUACGUG
This 468-nucleotide ribosomal RNA is filed under the name uncultured bacterium. RNAcentral's name for it is "partial 16S ribosomal RNA". It matches the Rfam family "Bacterial small subunit ribosomal RNA", at positions 28 to 507 of the family's 1533-position model. The record is from RNAcentral.